GAUGAACGCUGGCGGCGUGCCUAAUACAUGCAAGUCGAGCGAACAGACGAGGAGCUUGCUCCUCUGACGUUAGCGGCGGACGGGUGAGUAACACGUGGAUAACCUACCUAUAAGACUGGGAUAACUUCGGGAAACCGGAGCUAAUACCGGAUAACAUGUUGAACCGCAUGGUUCAACAGUGAAAGACGGUCUUGCUGUCACUUAUAGAUGGAUCCGCGCCGCAUUAGCUAGUUGGUAAGGUAACGGCUUACCAAGGCAACGAUGCGUAGCCGACCUGAGAGGGUGAUCGGCCACACUGGAACUGAGACACGGUCCAGACUCCUACGGGAGGCAGCAGUAGGGAAUCUUCCGCAAUGGGCGAAAGCCUGACGGGGCAACGCCGCGUGAGUGAAGAAGGUCUUCGGAUCGUAAAACUCUGUUAUUAGGGAAGAACAAAUGUGUAAGUAACUAUGCACGUCUUGACGGUACCUAAUCAGAAAGCCACGGCUAACUACGUG
This 497-nucleotide ribosomal RNA is filed under the name uncultured bacterium. Its description in RNAcentral is "partial 16S ribosomal RNA". It matches the Rfam family "Bacterial small subunit ribosomal RNA", at positions 28 to 507 of the family's 1533-position model. The record is from RNAcentral.